Molecule: ribosomal RNA, 550 nt
Filed under: uncultured bacterium
Lineage: Bacteria
Description: partial 16S ribosomal RNA
Rfam family: Bacterial small subunit ribosomal RNA
Source: RNAcentral
UGGGGAAUUUUGGACAAUGGGCGAAAGCCUGAUCCAGCAAUGCCGCGUGUGUGAAGAAGGCCUUCGGGUUGUAAAGCACUUUUGUCCGGAAAGAAAUCCUUGGCUCUAAUACAGUCGGGGGAUGACGGUACCGGAAGAAUAAGCACCGGCUAACUACGUGCCAGCAGCCGCGGUAAUACGUAGGGUGCAAGCGUUAAUCGGAAUUACUGGGCGUAAAGCGUGCGCAGGCGGUUUGCUAAGACCGAUGUGAAAUCCCCGGGCUCAACCUGGGAACUGCAUUGGUGACUGGCAGGCUAGAGUAUGGCAGAGGGGGGUAGAAUUCCACGUGUAGCAGUGAAAUGCGUAGAGAUGUGGAGGAAUACCGAUGGCGAAGGCAGCCCCCUGGCAAGUACUGACGCUCAUGCACGAAAAGCGUGGGGGAGCAAAACAGGAUUAGAUACCCCUGGUAGUCCACGCCCUAAACGAUGUCAACUAGUUGUUGGGGAUUCAUUUCCUAGUAACGUAGCUAACGCGUGAAGUUGACCGCCUGGGGGAGUACGGUCGCAAGAUU